Molecule: ribosomal RNA, 993 nt
Filed under: Holotrichapion pisi
Lineage: Eukaryota; Metazoa; Arthropoda; Insecta; Coleoptera; Brentidae
Description: SSU rRNA
Rfam family: Eukaryotic small subunit ribosomal RNA
Source: RNAcentral
UUACCCACUCCCGGCACGGGGAGGUAGUGACGAAAAAUAACGAUACGGGACUCAUCCGAGGCCCCGUAAUCGGAAUGAGUACACUCUAAACCCUUUAACGAGGAUCAAUUGGAGGGCAAGUCUGGUGCCAGCAGCCGCGGUAACUCCAGCUCCAAUAGCGUAUAUUAAAGUUGUUGCGGUUAAAAAGCUCGUAGUCGAAUUUGUGUCCCACGCCGCCGGUUCAUCGUCCGCGGUGUCAACUGGCGUGUCGGGGGACGUCCUGCCGGUGGGCUUAGCCCGCAAGGGCGGCCCAACUCAAUCCUGCCGCGGUGCUCUUCAUUGAGUGUCGAGGUGGGCCGGCACGUUUACUUUGAACAAAUUAGAGUGCUUAAAGCAGGCUAAAACUUCGCCUGAAUACUGUGUGCAUGGAAUAAUGGAAUAGGACCUCGGUUCUAUUUUGUUGGUUUUCGGAACCCCGAGGUAAUGAUUAAUAGGAACGGAUGGGGGCAUUCGUAUUGCGACGUUAGAGGUGAAAUUCUUGGAUCGUCGCAAGACGGACAGAAGCGAAAGCAUUUGCCAAAAACGCUUUCAUUGAUCAAGAACGAAAGUUAGAGGUUCGAAGGCGAUCAGAUACCGCCCUAGUUCUAACCAUAAACGAUGCCAGCUAGCGAUCCGUCGACGUUCCUCCGAUGACUCGACGGGCAGCUUCCGGGAAACCAAAGCUUUUGGGUUCCGGGGGAAGUAUGGUUGCAAAGCUGAAACUUAAAGGAAUUGACGGAAGGGCACCACCAGGAGUGGAGCCUGCGGCUUAAUUUGACUCAACACGGGAAACCUCACCAGGCCCGGACACCGGAAGGAUUGACAGAUUGAGAGCUCUUUCUUGAUUCGGUGGGUGGUGGUGCAUGGCCGUUCYUAGUUGGUGGAGCGAUUUGUCUGGUUAAUUCCGAUAACGAACGAGACUCUAGCCUGCUAACUAGGCGCAUUUUGACAUCGCAAAGGCCCGCCGGCUUGGGG